UAGGAAGGGCUUAGCUUAAUUAAAGUAUUUGAUUUGCAUUCAAUUGAUGUAAGAUAGAUUCUUGCAGUC
RNAcentral lists this transfer RNA (69 nucleotides) under Cuon alpinus lepturus. RNAcentral describes it as "tRNA-Ala". It matches the Rfam family "tRNA". From Rfam's summary of the family: Transfer RNA (tRNA) molecules are approximately 80 nucleotides in length. Their secondary structure includes four short double-helical elements and three loops (D, anti-codon, and T loops). The record is from RNAcentral. Lineage: Eukaryota; Metazoa; Chordata; Mammalia; Carnivora; Canidae.